CAGUUCCAAUUCUCUCCUGUCCAGCAAUGGAUUUAAACAUGCAUAACUUUAAGACAAAUCAAUUUCCUCAAGGAGACUACUCAUAUUUUAAAAUAUAUGCAUAUGCUUGAGUCAGGGUCUGAGUGUUUCAGCUAUUCCUCCUUAGACUGUUUUUGGAUCAGAUCAAAUCAUGCUCUUGUGAGUCUCAUGAGUAAUCAUAUAGUCACGAAUCAUGCAUUCAACAAAACAGGACAAAUCAUCAGCUUUCUUUGUUGUACAGAUAAAUCAUCUGACUAUCUCUAGAAGUUUCUGAAUGAAUGAUUGCUUCUUGCCCACCAGCCAGUGUUUUUGCCUAGUCUGGAAUUAUUGGCCUCUGUAUCCCUCUUUCAGCUAUGUGAUGAAGGCCAUUCUGCCUGAUCUGGGCUUAUGGAUAGGACUGCAUCUUAUAGAAUAGGAGAUUUAUUACUUCUUGCAUUUAAAUGACUGGGAUAAAAUAUUGCAAACAGCAAAUGACACAUGAGAUUUGUCAGAUGAGGACAUUUAUAUAGGUGCCUCCUUUUCUGAGACUUACUGAAUUUCUCUGCCACUUUUUACAGUGAGUCACAGUUCUGCUUCUGUAGGAGAAACCACUGCACAUAGUAUUCUCAUUUAGAAAUGCCACAGAUGCCAGCAUAGAAAUCAGUACUAAUUUGUGAAGAUUUUACUCUGGCACUGCAUUCACACCAAUCCUCUGCCUACUCCUCAAAGAGCUGGCAAUCCCCAGACUUGGUUUGACUACUGAAUUGUGGCAUUACAUCCUUUGGAUUCUGUUUAUACUGGGAAAGCAUCUACCCCCACACACCGUGAUACAGCAACAAUUUUCACUGCAUGUGGGACUUAUGAUGGCAUCAUAUUGGACAAGAAUAUUUUCAUACUAAAGUACUAAAGAUGUUUUGAAGAUUUCAUUUGAACAAGCUACAUUCUAAAUAAGAAUCAUUUGACAGUAGCCUAGAUUAGAACUUGCUAAAAAUACAUCUGAAGCCCAAAGGGGAUGUCUGACAGCUUUUGACAUGGAGAAAAACAACUCAGAAUUUUAGUGCUCUUGAAAAGAAACGGUUUACAAAAUUCUCUGGCUAUUCACACAGCUCAUCAGCAUAAGACACAGAGCUUCUACCCAUUUGGAACCAAACUGGAGCCAACUAGACUUUGCAUCACUACCUAUCAUUCCUUUAGGCUAACAGUCCAGACAACUUUUCAGUCACUUUAUCAUCCAUCAAUCCAGACCAUAUCUCACCAGUGUGACCACAAGGAUACUGUAAGACACUAUGCUGAAGACCUCGGUAAGCAGAAACUGAAGACUUACAGAUGGUGAAGAUGUGAAAGAAGGAUUUAGGAUUGAUAAGCCUACACAGUCAUACUUGAAUGAAUUGCUUGCACUGGAGUUUGCUAUGGAAAUUAGAGUUUCUGAGACUGGAUUUUUUGUGUGACCAUGAGGAUAUUUUCCAAAUUAAAGAGUCAAAGAAGUAAAAUAAAAGUGUAAACUCACCAUUACUAUUUGGUGUUCAUGCUAAAGUUUCAAGAAGCUCAGAGUAGUGUGAUUUAUACCCUUCACAUUUAUUUUUCUUACUUUAUUGAUUGCAUGCACCUUCACAACAUUCUUAAACUGAACAACCAGAGGAUCAUUUUUGAAGAUUGAUUAUUGUCAUUGAACCUGCCUUUAUCUCCAGGAUUGUUAUGGUGACACAAAGGAAGUAUGAUUUAGAAUAGGAAGAGCAUAAAAGUUUAGUCAGAAAUCAUGUGAAUGUUAUUUGGUACUUCUGAUAGCCAAGAAAUGAAGUCUAUGACAUUAUUUUUACGGAUAUACAGACUGAUGAUCAAACAGUCAUCAGCAAAUCAGCCACUUCUGAAAGAUGCAUUCAUUCUAGCUUUAAAAAUUGGGGCAUUAAAAAUAUUGUUUACAUCAUAUUUUAGAGGCAAAAUGGAAACCAUACCUCCAUAUGACAAAAACGUAGAGGACAUUUAUUGACUGCUAGAAGUUUAAAUAUUACAGCACGUCACACCUCAGUUGGAAGUGUUAGACAUAACACCAAAUCAUUUCACCAAAGCAAUGCACAUACGAGCUUUUGGACAGACCUUUGCAUCUCACCACCACACUUUUCUUCCCAUAAAUUAGCAAAAAAAACAACUAAACCAUAUUAAAUAAAAUUCAAAAAGAGCUUUUGUCUUAGAAAAGCAUGAGUUGCUAACUGGUUAUUCCAGAAGCAGUCAGAUUAUAUAUAUAUUAUAUAUAUAUAUAUAUAUAUAUGAUUAUGCAUUAGUCACAACCAUUAAUUAUACCUGCUCCUUUUACUUGCACAAAGAUGACAAAAUUAAAUUCAGAGACUGGGAACUAUUCACCACCUAUAUAUGUUAAAUAAUUUUUUGCACCUGUGCAAGAUUAAGAACACUUUUUGUACUGUUAUAAAUUAAUUUUGUAUUCAUCUUGCUUUUGUGCAUGAGCACAAAAGAGAAUCAGCCUUCAGAACCUUUGUACUUUUCUUCUCCUUUUUACUUUUUUUUUUUUUCUGGUAAUGUCUAGAAUUCAAAAAAUUUCUACUUUUUUUUUUUUUUUUCUUACAGUCUGGUGAAUCUGAGGUAAUGAAAGCAAAUCUUUGGGCAAGCUCAUGGAACAGUUUAGGGGGUAGUUUCUUCAGGCGUAAAGCAUCUGACCUCAAGAAUCUGGCAGAUAUCACUGCAGCAUUAUUAGCAGUCACUCAGGUCUCCAGGCAGAUAUCAGUAAGUAGGAAUGGUCAUGCAUUUCAAUAUGUGCAGUUAACCUACUUAGAUUAGAAUUUAUUAUUUAUGAUGAUUAUCAGCACUGCAGAUCUUGUAAAUGGCAGUAGGUCAGUGCCAUGAUAAUAAUUAAGGAAUUCAUUAUAGGAUAAAAAAGGUAAGCUUCACUUUUCUCUUUUGAAACAGAAUCGAACAUAACAGUAAUUUGACUGAAGAAAUUGUUUCCAGAAAGAAGCUACAAAGGGUUUGGGGUUUAUUUUCCCCAUUUACUGUAUUCUGAAGCUGAUUUCACAGCCUUCUAUAUUCAUUGUAGCAGUAAUACUAAAAGGUCCCUGAAGCCUUCUUUUAAGAAGUUCAUUAAACUCUUAGUGAAGUUUUGUGUAUUUUUAUUCCCGCUAUAUUACAGAAUAAGACACAUAAUACCUCCAGGAGUCCGAAAUAUGGUAAAAAAAUCAUACAUGCAAAGCAUAUAAACUUUGUGCAGUUUGCUGUCUUUUUUAUUGCAUUGUUUGAUAAAGCUCCCUGUUGUUUGAACAUAUACAAUUCUUUAUUCUUUAAUAAUGGAACUUAAAUGUCAUGGAUGCCUUACAAAGCUUUUGUUUAUAAAUUUUAUUAGACAGAGAUAUGCUAAAUAUCUCGCAGGGGAUUUUGAUAUUGCUGCACAUUGGAAAACCACUGAAAAAUACCUAUGAAUUAAAUCAGCCUGAAGAUGAACCAUAUUUUGAGAUUAAAGAGAACAAGAAAUGUUUGCAAUUUACUGAAUAAAACACCUGUUACGAAUUAA
This is a non-coding RNA of Meleagris gallopavo (turkey), 3514 nucleotides long. The record is from RefSeq and is a predicted model, not a curated record. Lineage: Eukaryota; Metazoa; Chordata; Aves; Galliformes; Phasianidae.